GCUCUCUCUGGUGUGGAGAUCACGUCCAAGAUUCUCGCCGGCCUCGAUCUGGAACAUAAUCCAGUCAUGUCAGCGUUCGCGGCUCGGGUGGAGCCUGUCACAGUUCAGGAGCUCUACAGUCAGCUCCUGAGCUUUGAUG
Molecule: small nucleolar RNA, 139 nt
Filed under: Hordeum vulgare subsp. vulgare (domesticated barley)
Lineage: Eukaryota; Viridiplantae; Streptophyta; Magnoliopsida; Poales; Poaceae
Description: Small nucleolar RNA Z247
Rfam family: Small nucleolar RNA Z247
About the family: Z247 is a member of the C/D class of snoRNA which contain the C (UGAUGA) and D (CUGA) box motifs. Most of the members of the box C/D family function in directing site-specific 2'-O-methylation of substrate RNAs.
Source: Rfam by way of RNAcentral